This 448-nucleotide ribosomal RNA is filed under the name uncultured bacterium. RNAcentral describes it as "bacterial SSU rRNA". It matches the Rfam family "Bacterial small subunit ribosomal RNA", at positions 331 to 797 of the family's 1533-position model. The record is from RNAcentral.
CCAGACUCCUACGGGAGGCAGCAGUAGGGAAUUUUGCGCAAUGGGGGAAACCCUGACGCAGCAACGCCGCGUGAUUGAUGAAGCCCUUCGGGGUGUAAAGAUCUGUCAGUGGGGACGAAACUUGACGGUACCCACAGAGGAAGCAUCGGCUAACUCCGUGCCAGCAGCCGCGGUAAUACGGAGGAUGCGAGCGUUAUCCGGAUUUAUUGGGUUUAAAGGGUGCGCAGGCGGUCUGUUAAGUCAGCGGUCAAAGGCGGGGGCCCCCCCCCCGGCCCGCCGUUGAAACUGGCAGUCUCGAGUUGGAGAGAAGUAUGCGGAAUGCGCGGUGUAGCGGUGAAAUGCAUAGAUAUCGCGCAGAACUCCGAUUGCGAAGGCAGCAUGCCGGCUCCACACUGACGCUGAGGCACGAAAGCGUGGGUAUCGAACAGGAUUAGAUACCCGAGUACCU